UGCUAGUUUAUGCGGUAAAACUAAGACUGCAGUAAACUAUUCCCCAGCAAGAACGCUACAACAGCGUUACAGUCUAACUCUCCAUGAAUGUCGGAGCAGGACGGACAGUGGUCCGCUGUUCGUGGUGUUUCGGCACCUAACGUGAAGAUGCCAGCGUCAAGUUUGACAGCGCGGGAACGAUGUCUUCCUGUCCUGACUUUCAAAAUAAACUUGUUGUAAACAUA
Molecule: long non-coding RNA, 224 nt
Organism: Micropterus salmoides (largemouth bass)
Lineage: Eukaryota; Metazoa; Chordata; Actinopteri; Centrarchiformes; Centrarchidae
Exons: 2
Source: RefSeq, a predicted model, not a curated record